AAAUGAAGGCACAAUCUUUCCAUCACCAUGUUUGCAGACACUAUAUAUUGAAGCUGAUUCAGUUAUUGAUGGACAAGCAAUCACUCCAGGGUGUCGGGUUAGGACAGUUAAAGUAUAUGUUCAGUGGUGAAUAUUGUUAGGAACUACACAGCUGAUUAUGACAAAACUCUAAUUUUCAACAAGAUCCAUCAUAAACUGAACCAGUUCUGCAGCGUGCACACUCUGCAGGAGGUCUACAUUGAGUUGUUUGAUAUUAUAGAUGAGAUUCUGAAGACUGCAUUACAGAAGGAUCUUAAUGCGAUGGCACCUGGACUAAAGUCUGCAUAUUAUAUUUGAUAAAUGAGGCC
This is a long non-coding RNA of Poeciliopsis prolifica (blackstripe livebearer), 347 nucleotides long. RefSeq lists it as uncharacterized. The record is from RefSeq and is a predicted model, not a curated record. The transcript has 4 exons. NCBI's taxonomy places the organism in Eukaryota, Metazoa, Chordata, Actinopteri, Cyprinodontiformes, Poeciliidae.